GACGAACGCUGGCGGCGUGCUUAACACAUGCAAGUCGAACGGUGAAGCGCCUUCCUUUUUGGUGGGUGUGGAUGAGUGGCGAACGGGUGAGUAACACGUGAGUAACCUGCCCCCUUCUUCUGGAUAACCGCAUGAAAGUGUGGCUAAUACGGGAUAUUCUGGGUCUGUCGCAUGAUGGGUCUGGGAAAGAUAUUGUUUCGGUGGGGGAUGGGCUCGCGGCCUAUCAGCUUGUUGGUGGGGUGAUGGCCUACCAAGGCGGUGACGGGUAGCCGGCCUGAGAGGGUGGACGCACAGGCUGGGACUGAGGCACGGGCCAGACUCCUACGGGAGGCAGCGGUAGUGAAGAUUGAACAAUGGGCGCAAGCCUGAUGCAGCGACGCCGCGUGAGGGAUGGAGGCCUUCGGGUUGUGAACCUCGUUCGGAAGUGAAGCAGGCCUGCCUCGUUUGUGGGUGGGUUGACGGUAGCUGGAUAAGAAGCGCCGGCUAACUACGU
Molecule: ribosomal RNA, 493 nt
Filed under: uncultured bacterium
Lineage: Bacteria
Description: partial 16S ribosomal RNA
Rfam family: Bacterial small subunit ribosomal RNA
Source: RNAcentral